RNAcentral lists this ribosomal RNA (253 nucleotides) under uncultured prokaryote. Its description in RNAcentral is "partial 16S ribosomal RNA". It matches the Rfam family "Bacterial small subunit ribosomal RNA", at positions 524 to 776 of the family's 1533-position model. The record is from RNAcentral.
UACGUAGGCAGCAAGCGUUGUUCGGAAUCACUGGGCUUAAAGCGCGUGUAGGUGGGACGGUAAGUACCGUGUGAAAUCCCCGGGCUCAACCCGGGAACCGCUCGGUAUACUGUCGUCCUUGAGGCAGGUAGGGGUCGCUGGAACCUUAGGUGGAGCGGUGAAAUGCGUAGAUAUCUAAGGGAACGCCUGUGGCGAAAGCGGGUGACUGGGCCUGUCCUGACACUGAGACGCGAAAGCGUAGGGAGCGAACGGG